RNAcentral lists this transfer RNA (75 nucleotides) under Marmota monax (woodchuck). RNAcentral describes it as "tRNA.Undet". The record is from RNAcentral. Lineage: Eukaryota; Metazoa; Chordata; Mammalia; Rodentia; Sciuridae.
GGGGAUAUAGCUCAGUUGGUAGAGUGUUUACCUUCAUGCACAAUGCCGUGGGUUCAACCCCCAGAACUAUCACCA